AUAAAUGCCUGAUCCAGGCAAACUCCCACAGACAGAGCACAAAGCGUUACCCAGGACCCCACUUCUCCCAGCAGCUGGAUAAACAUAUUCGACGACAGACCUUGGCAAGAACUGCAAAGAUGCUCUUGACAAUGGCAUGAAUAAAUAUUAGGUGUUAUCUAGAAUUCACCACAUUUGAGGUCGUGCGCAAAGCCAGAUCAAAGAGAAUGCAGAACAAUAGAAGCAAGAAGGAUCCCAAAUAUAGUGUUGCAACUCUCCUCACCUGCAGGAAGGGGUUGCCCAAGAAGCAUGACACCAGCAUCUGCUUCUGGUGAGAGCUUCAAGCUGUUCCCACUCAUGGUGGAAGAGGAAGAGGAACCAGUUGUGCAGAGAUAACAGCUAUACAUUUCCGAAGACAGAGAAGAGGAAAAAGGAGGGCCAUGGAAAAAGGCAAGAAGGUCCCAUGACCAAGAGAUGACCAGCUCCACAGAGGAAAUGCAGGGCCACUCUCCGACUGGACCCCACUGUGCACAAGGUGAGAAUUCAGCCUGUUUAUCAGGGUUCCCCUUAUUAAAGUAUAUGUCAAA
Molecule: long non-coding RNA, 566 nt
Filed under: Pan troglodytes (chimpanzee)
Lineage: Eukaryota; Metazoa; Chordata; Mammalia; Primates; Hominidae
Description: lincRNA
Source: RNAcentral